Molecule: long non-coding RNA, 290 nt
Filed under: Setaria viridis
Lineage: Eukaryota; Viridiplantae; Streptophyta; Magnoliopsida; Poales; Poaceae
Description: long non-coding RNA (SVIR_LNC006434)
Source: RNAcentral
GUAGAUCCGGUUCCUAUUAUUUGAAAGUCGGCUAUUAAAAAUUCAGCUAAUAUUAAUGUUGGUGAUGAAUUAAUAACUGAUCCUUGUACAAAUACGGCAACAAUGGUAUUAUUUGUUAAGAUCCAAUUAUAUUCAGCUAUCUCAAACGGAGAAUGUUUUGAUACAAAAUCCUCAAGUAUGAGUAUUGAAGCAGUAUCUAGUUAUUCCAUGCUCGGGGCCAACCUGCCUUUGGGAGACAGAGCCAUCUUUUUUAUUUUUUAUCCUUUUUUGAAAGAUUCUCACAAAUACGC